AUGGAGAAUUAAGAAGGUGCAGAUAGAGUGUGGGGAUGAUAUUUGUACUUUUUUUGUUUUUGUUUACAAUGGCAGCAAUGACACUGAAUAGGCAAAGGCAUUGGUUCUAUCCAGUUACCGUGAAUGGAUUAGAAAAGUGAUUACUUACCCAUUGUUUCUAUCAUUGUUAGAACUGCAGUGGAAUGUGGUUUCUCCCCAUUAACAACAAUUUGGAGCGCUUCCCUUUUUCAAGGCCUGCAAAGAACAACACAAUGUUUUAUAUAUUUUUCUCACUGCUCGGACGGGAAAUGCAAUUUAGAAACCUUUUAGAUUGUAUUUGUUAAAAGUCGUGUUAAAUAUCAACAGCAAUCAAUGUUUUUAAGGCUCUGAUCACAAAUACCAAAAACGUUGUACGUAUUUAGUAUGUAUAAUAAGCCCGUCAGAUUGUGAUUACUCUGGCAGGUUUCUAAUAGUGGCUUCGUUACAAGCACAACAUGACUCGGGGAGACUUUACACGAUUAAAGGAGAUUGUUAAGACCAUUAAAAGCCCUAUAUAGAAUCUUGGAAUAGCUGCAGCGCAUGUGCCAACGGGAUCAUUGCCGCACUGGUUUGUUUAUGUUGACUUUCAACUUUUCAGUUCAUCCAAUGUAAACCCACUAAUGAGCUUUCUAAGCAUGAUGUCUGGCUGCUGUGUACUUUAUGUUUGCGAAGAAUAUUAAUUAAUAGAAAGCAUCUGCUGUACUGGCAUACAACAACAACAAAAAUAAACUCAGUUACUAUGCAUUUGUACAUUCAUAAUGCCUCAACUCUGCUCCUGAGCUUUUGCUUUGCGAUUGGAUUUAUGUGUUUGACCCAAUGUAUUACAAUAAUACGGCAACAAUAAUAAGCAUCAUGAAUGCUGCAUUCAGGGACCUGUAGAAAAAUUCUACGUUCAAACGUCUCGCAGGUGAGCGGUCCAUACUGCCGAGUAAGGGUGAGUGAUUCCCUCUCCAGGGGCCCACGUAUCCAGUUGCGUGUAAUGAUCCACAGGAGGCCCGAGGAAGUCCUCACGGUCCUCCUCGCGAAAUACGAUCACCGGCGGCGUCAUGCGAGCUUUGCCUGUUACCACGAACGGCU
This is a long non-coding RNA of Gasterosteus aculeatus aculeatus (three-spined stickleback), 1095 nucleotides long. NCBI's taxonomy places the organism in Eukaryota, Metazoa, Chordata, Actinopteri, Perciformes, Gasterosteidae. The record is from Ensembl.